UCGUGAGAUACCAGGACAAAAAACACAGGUUUUUCGCAGGUAUGGUUUCUUAGUUGGUGUAAAAGUUGGUAAAGAGUUGGUAAACUUUUGAACUGACAGAGUAUAGGUUUCUUAGUUGGUGAAAGCAAGAAUAAUCCGGUGACUUUUCCGGUUAAAAUAACUCACCGGAAAGUAUGGCGAAACAGAAUUUUGCAGGAAAUUUGAAGAAAAACCCAAGUUUUAACAUGUCUUCAUGUGUCAAAACAAGGUUUUUGUGAAAAUUUUUUGCAAACAACAACAAGCUUUCUGAAAAGUUUUAACUCAUUUUAUCUUUUAAAACAAACUUGAAAAUCCAGUUUCAAACACAAACAAAGUUACCAAACCUUCAAAGAUUUUGUGCGAAAAACACGACACUAGCUCGGUUUUAAAAAGGAUCUAGUAAUCUUAACCUUGCUAUUAGACACACCCGCAAGUGCGGAAUCCGAACGGGUAUGCAACCGAGACAAGAACACGAGAUAUAAGAACAAGUUUCAACGUUAAAGCUCAGUAUAUUAUACCAAAGAGUUUGUUUACACAGGAUAAGACAAGAUAACACUCACACAAACCCACUGUAUUCUCACUAUGUUCUCUGUGUUCUAAGGUGCUACUUCAUCGCUAUCGCUACGUAGCAUAUAGGAACAGCAAACACAAUGCAUAUGAAUAGAUACCAGAAUGGUAAUGCAUCUAGCAGCAAGAGUUUGAAGACUUCUAUCAUCAGUAGUCUGUCAUCAUGGUCAAAUCUUGACCACGACCUGCUCUUACCAAUUUUGAUGAAACUUGGACCCGUAGAUUUCUUGGCAUUCAGCGGGGUUUGCAAAUCUUGGAGGUCACUAGCAUUUGCUUGUUAGAAAUCCGGACAGCGGAAGCCAUCAUCAUAAUCGACAUCGUAUCCGUGUUUGCGUGUGUGAUUAUGUAUGAGUGUGUGUUUGUAUACGGAGAACAACAGAAACACAGAGAAACAUAAA
Long non-coding RNA from Helianthus annuus (common sunflower), 983 nucleotides. RefSeq lists it as uncharacterized. Lineage: Eukaryota; Viridiplantae; Streptophyta; Magnoliopsida; Asterales; Asteraceae. The transcript is spliced from 3 exons. The record is from RefSeq and is a predicted model, not a curated record.